UACGUAGGGAGCGAGCGUUGUCCGGAAUUACUGGGUGUAAAGGGAGUGUAGGCGGGACAUUAAGUCAGGUGUGAAAUUUAUGGGCUCAACCCAUAACCUGCAUUUGAAACUAAUGUUCUUGAGUGAAGUAGAGGUUGGCGGAAUUCCUAGUGUAGCGGUGAAAUGCGUAGAUAUUAGGAGGAACAUCAGUGGCGAAGGCGGCCAACUGGGCUUUUACUGACGCUGAGGCUCGAAAGCGUGGGGAGCAAACAGG
Molecule: ribosomal RNA, 253 nt
Filed under: uncultured bacterium
Lineage: Bacteria
Description: partial 16S ribosomal RNA
Rfam family: Bacterial small subunit ribosomal RNA
Source: RNAcentral